GUAGGCAUAGUUUAAUCAAAACGUUAGAUUGUGAUUCUGAAAAAAAGGGUUAAAAUCCCUUUGUCCACC
RNAcentral lists this transfer RNA (69 nucleotides) under Epiplatys guineensis. Its description in RNAcentral is "tRNA-His". It matches the Rfam family "tRNA". Rfam says of the family: Transfer RNA (tRNA) molecules are approximately 80 nucleotides in length. The record is from RNAcentral. Lineage: Eukaryota; Metazoa; Chordata; Actinopteri; Cyprinodontiformes; Nothobranchiidae.